UCCUUAGAGAGAUGGGAAUCGAACCCAUAAUUAAGAGAUCAAAGCUCUUUAUAAUUCCAUUUUACUACCC
RNAcentral lists this transfer RNA (70 nucleotides) under Pristimantis miktos. RNAcentral describes it as "partial tRNA-Gln". The record is from RNAcentral. Lineage: Eukaryota; Metazoa; Chordata; Amphibia; Anura; Strabomantidae.